UGUUCCUCACUGUCAUCACGUCCCUCCCCCCCCCAUUAAAGUUCGGCCAUGUGGGAUCGUCGUGUCUCGUGUUUCCUUUCCGAUUCUGAGGAAGAAACAUUUUGGUGCAGUGUGAUUCUUCGAUCGGCUUGCCCUGGACCCGAGGCCACGACUCCGGUCUUGGUGUCAUUGGAGCUGCGGGCCUCCCUGGGAUGCAAUCGGAACAGAGGACCUAUGGCGACCCCAUGUGUUCCACUUGUCUGAACAUGGCCCUGCGCGACCACCACCGGCUGAUUCGUGAAUUUUUCCUUCGGCUAGCUUACCGCCCCCUUUACCCGGAGAUUCAUCUUACGAUGACCCAGCUACUCAAAAGCCAGACAGAUGUGAAUUCAAUCAGCUACCUCAGAAUGUCAGCGAACAGGACAUGAUCAACAGGACAUCACCAGGACAUAUCGGAUAUUCCCCAGACCCCUCGACACCCAAAGCCAGCAGGAAGCAGUUAUGAGAGACCGGGCUACACCCCCAUUCCCUACCCAUUAAGACCCUCACCCCCCAAUUUUUUAAUAAAACCAAAAGGAUGGAAUGUUGUUCUUUUGGGAGGGUUCCCAUCUCCCAAAAGGCCCCUGCUGUAGAGGCUAUAGCCUCCCACCUAACCUGGGAAGACCACAUUUCCCAGAAGCGCUCAGUGUUCCACGAAAAGGCCACAUAUGCGCAAAGAGUACAGCGUCCCACCAGACCACAUUUCCCAGAAGCACUCAGCAUUUGACAAAAUAGCCACACAUGUGCAGGAAACACAUUUCCCAGGUGUGCCUAGCCUCCUUUAAAAAGCCGAAGACACCAUGGCCCUACCCCUUUUCAUCCCCAGUUCCUCACUGUCAUCACGUCCCUCCCCCCCAUUAAAGUUCAGCCAUGUGGGAUUGUUGUGUCUCGUGUUUCCUUUCUGAUUCCGUGGAAGAAACAGCAUGAAUAAUAUUGAUGCUGAAUGGGAUUCGGUAGUGCAUAUGUGCCACAUUUCCGCUAUCCAUUCAUCAAUUGAAGGACAUUUAGAUUGCUUCCAUUUCCAAGAACCUUCAUCUAGCGAUGGAUGGAGAUAGAGACAGAGACCCACACUGGAGCAUCGGACUAAGCCCCCAAAGUCCCAAUGAGGAGCAGAAGGAGGGAGAACAUGAGCAUGGAAGUCAAAACCACGAGAGGUGCACCCAUCCAUAUAGACAGUGGGGCUGAUCUAUUGGGAGCUCACCAAGGCCAGCUGGACUGUGACUGAAAAAGCAUGGGAUAAAACCGGACUCUCUGAACAUGGCAGACAAUGAGGGCUGAUGAGAAGCCAAGGACAAUGGCAUGGUGUUUUGUUCCUACUUCAUGUUCUGGCUUUGUGGCAGCCUAGCCAGUUUGAAUAUUCACCUUCCUAGACCUGGAUGGAGGGGAGAAGA
Alexandromys fortis (reed vole) is the source of this 1409-nucleotide long non-coding RNA. RefSeq lists it as uncharacterized. NCBI's taxonomy places the organism in Eukaryota, Metazoa, Chordata, Mammalia, Rodentia, Cricetidae. The record is from RefSeq and is a predicted model, not a curated record. The transcript has 4 exons.